AAUCCCUCCUGCUGCAACCACACUCCCACUCCUUUUCCUUCUUUUACAUGUGAGCUGAGAUCAGCAAAUCCCAGGCCACCUGAGGAGAGGCCCCAGGCGGGCGGAGGCCAUAAGAGGUGGGAGGAGAUGAGCGGUGGGAUUGAGUCCCUCCCGAACCUCUGCUGGCACCUCAACGAGUGAAGCCCCGGACUGUGGGAGCCCACGGAACCCGGCAGACAGCACUGUCCAAACCCCUUGUCUGAAAAAUGAAGAAAGCUGCCCCCAAGGGCCGUGAGUUCUCACAUCACACAGCUUGGCUGAGCCUUCCCCAUGGGGAAGCAUCGGUCGUGCAAGAGGAACCUGGUGGCUUCUUAGCGAUUGCCUGACACGAAUCCACAAGCUCCCUGCUCUGCCACAUGUCAACGGCUCCAGACUUCCCAACGCGGCCCCUGUUACCCCGCACACCAAAUGCACGUCUUCAUUUUGAACUAAA
Ailuropoda melanoleuca (giant panda) is the source of this 472-nucleotide long non-coding RNA. RefSeq lists it as uncharacterized. Lineage: Eukaryota; Metazoa; Chordata; Mammalia; Carnivora; Ursidae. The record is from RefSeq and is a predicted model, not a curated record. The transcript has 3 exons.